GACGAACGCUGGCGGCGUGCUUAACACAUGCAAGUCGAACGGAAAGGCCCUGCUUGCCGGGUACUCGAGUGGCGAACGGGUGAGUAACACGUGGGUGAUCUGCCCUGCACUUCGGGAUAAGCCUGGGAAACUGGGUCUAAUACCGGAUAGGAGCCAUUUUUAGUGUGAUGGUUGGAAAGUUUUUUCGGUGUAGGAUGAGCUCGCGGCCUAUCAGCUUGUUGGUGGGGUAAUGGCCUACCAAGGCGGCGACGGGUAGCCGGCCUGAAAGGGUGGACGGCCACAUUGGGACUGAGAUACGGCCCAGACUCCUACGGGAGGCAGCAGUGGGGAAUAUUGCACAAUGGGCGCAAGCCUGAUGCAGCGACGCCGCGUGGGGGAUGACGGCCUUCGGGUUGUAAACUCCUUUCGCUAGGGACGAAGCUUUUUGUGACGGUACCUAGAUAAGAAGCACCGGCUAACUACGUG
This 465-nucleotide ribosomal RNA is filed under the name uncultured bacterium. Its description in RNAcentral is "partial 16S ribosomal RNA". It matches the Rfam family "Bacterial small subunit ribosomal RNA", at positions 28 to 507 of the family's 1533-position model. The record is from RNAcentral.